UUACUUACCUGGUUGAGGUUAAUGGAUGAUCAUAAAGGUCCAUGGCCUAGGCAAGUGACCUCCAUUGCACUUAGGAGGGGUGCUUGCCUAAGGUCUACCCAAGUGGUGGAUGCCUUAUUUCUAGGAGAUUUUUUAUAUGAUUUAGUUCGUCUAUUAU
Molecule: small nuclear RNA, 157 nt
Organism: Trifolium pratense (red clover)
Lineage: Eukaryota; Viridiplantae; Streptophyta; Magnoliopsida; Fabales; Fabaceae
Product: U1 spliceosomal RNA
Exons: 1
Source: RefSeq, a predicted model, not a curated record